Micropterus salmoides (largemouth bass) is the source of this 576-nucleotide long non-coding RNA. RefSeq lists it as uncharacterized. The record is from RefSeq and is a predicted model, not a curated record. NCBI's taxonomy places the organism in Eukaryota, Metazoa, Chordata, Actinopteri, Centrarchiformes, Centrarchidae. The transcript is spliced from 6 exons.
AUGAGGGACGAAACGUCUUCCAGUAUCUUCAACCAAGUCCAGUUGCCCUUCAUUUUAACCUUCGUUGGAGAACUAUGACCUGGAUGACUGAGAAUCUUCACAGACAGUCACCAACUUUGCACUGCAUUUCAAAGCUGCAGCCAGCUCCUCAGCCGCAACACCCAGUACCAAAGAUGAAGUCAGUGUGCUGUUGAAAAAAGUGCAGGAUCUAUUCAACCAAAAAUAUAAGGAGGCUGGAGGUGUUGGAAGGCUCCCCUACCGGUCCCUGGUGAAUCAAAGGGUGACCAUAAAUGUUGCUAGGCUGCCCAAUGGUCUUACCCUCAAGAAGCCAUCCUUUUAUGGAAGCCAUUUUAAAAGCUGCUGAGCAUAUUUCAUUUGAAAUAAAUGCAGCACAAUGCCACCCCACUGACACAGCAGAGGGAAGUUCAGAACACAUCAACGCAGAAUACACAGCAGAUGACCUCCAGACGAAGUCGGUGGAAGAGAUAUUAGAGGCCAUGUGUGAAAAUGGUGCACAGCAGAUGGAAGAGGAAUCCUCAGAAACAACCAGUAAUGUAGCCGUGCUGAUGACUGCAG